Molecule: ribosomal RNA, 253 nt
Filed under: uncultured bacterium
Lineage: Bacteria
Description: partial 16S ribosomal RNA
Rfam family: Bacterial small subunit ribosomal RNA
Source: RNAcentral
CACGUAGGGCGCAAGCGUUGUCCGGAAUUAUUGGGCGUAAAGAGCUCGUAGGCGGUUUGUCGCGUCGAAUGUGAAAACCCGGGGCUCAACUCCGGAUCUGCGGUGGGUACGGGCAGACUAGAGUGAUGUAGGGGAGACUGGAAUUCCUGGUGUAGCGGUGAAAUGCGCAGAUAUCAGGAGGAACACCGAUGGCGAAGGCAGGUCUCUGGGCCGAUACUGACGCUGAGGAGCGAAAGCGUGGGGAGCGAACAGG